CAGUCGCCGCGGUAAUACAGAGGGUGCGAGCGUUAAUCGGAUUUACUGGGCGUAAAGCGUGCGUAGGCGGCUUUUUAAGUCGGAUGUGAAAUCCCUGAGCUUAACUUAGGAAUUGCAUUCGAUACUGGGAAGCUAGAGUAUGGGAGAGGAUGGUAGAAUUCCAGGUGUAGCGGUGAAAUGCGUAGAGAUCUGGAGGAAUACCGAUGGCGAAGGCAGCCAUCUGGCCUAAUACUGACGCUGAGGUACGAAAGCAUGGGGAGCAAACAGGUUUAGAGACCCCAGUAGUCCCUGUCUCUUAUAA
RNAcentral lists this ribosomal RNA (301 nucleotides) under uncultured bacterium. Its description in RNAcentral is "partial 16S ribosomal RNA". It matches the Rfam family "Bacterial small subunit ribosomal RNA", at positions 509 to 809 of the family's 1533-position model. The record is from RNAcentral.